GUACUGAUGAAGAGUCCCAAACUGGGACGAAACAACCUUCCAGUAC
This 46-nucleotide non-coding RNA is filed under the name Trichobilharzia regenti. Lineage: Eukaryota; Metazoa; Platyhelminthes; Trematoda; Strigeidida; Schistosomatidae. The record is from RNAcentral.